RNAcentral lists this ribosomal RNA (500 nucleotides) under uncultured Myrionecta. RNAcentral's name for it is "bacterial SSU rRNA". It matches the Rfam family "Eukaryotic small subunit ribosomal RNA", at positions 1211 to 1798 of the family's 1831-position model. The record is from RNAcentral. Lineage: Eukaryota; Ciliophora; Litostomatea; Cyclotrichida; Mesodiniidae.
AAACUUACCAGGUCAAGACAUGGGCGUGAUUGACAGGCUAAUGACUUUUCUCGAUUCCAUGGAUGGUGGUGCAUGGUCGCACUUAGUUGGUGCAGUGAUUUGUCAGGUUUAUUCCGGUAACGAACGAGACCUCGGCCUUGUAAAUAGCUAUGCUGCUUACAGGGACAUUGGCGGCUACGCCAAGGAAGCUCGAGGCAAUUGCAGAUCUGGAAUGCCCUUAGAUGUCCUGGGUCGCACGCGUGCUACAAUGACGCCACGAACGAGCUUGCGUGAUGAAAGUUACGCAUAAUCAGCAGUCGGCGUCUUAAGGGAUAGUCUCUUGUAACUGUGGGACUCCAACUAGGAAUGUCUCGUAAGCACAAGUCAACAUCUUGUGUUGAUUACGUCCCUGCUCUUUGUACACACCGCCCGUCGCUCCUACCGAUCGAGUGUUUAGGUGAAUUUGAUGGACGUAAGGAAGUCAAAUAAACCUGAGCACUAGAGAAGAGAAGUCGAGCAUA